UACGUAGGGGGCAAGCGUUGUCCGGAAUCAUUGGGCGUAAAGAGCGUGUAGGCGGCCAGAUAAGUCCGCUGUGAAAUCUCGAGGCUCAACUUCGAGCUGUCGGUGGAAACUGUCUGGCUAGAGUCCGGAAGAGGAGAAUGGAAUUCCUGGUGUAGCGGUGAAAUGCGCAGAUAUCAGGAGGAACACCGGUGGCGAAGGCGGAUCUCUGGGCCUUACCUGACGCUGAGGCGCGAAAGCUAGGGGAGCGAACAGG
RNAcentral lists this ribosomal RNA (253 nucleotides) under uncultured bacterium. RNAcentral's name for it is "partial 16S ribosomal RNA". It matches the Rfam family "Bacterial small subunit ribosomal RNA", at positions 524 to 776 of the family's 1533-position model. The record is from RNAcentral.